UACGUAGGGUGCAAGCGUUGUCCGGAAUUAUUGGGCGUAAAGAGCUCGUAGGCGGUUUGUCGCGUCGGCUGUGAAAACUCGGGGCUCAACCCCGAGCCUGCAGUCGAUACGGGCAGACUAGAGUGCGGAAGAGGAGAGUGGAAUUCCCGGUGUAGUGGUGGAAUGCGUAGAUAUCGGGAGGAACACCAGUGGCGAAGGCGGUUGCCUGGAGCUUUGCUGACGCUGAUGCGCGAAAGCGUGGGGAGCGAUCCGG
RNAcentral lists this ribosomal RNA (253 nucleotides) under uncultured bacterium. Its description in RNAcentral is "partial 16S ribosomal RNA". It matches the Rfam family "Bacterial small subunit ribosomal RNA", at positions 524 to 776 of the family's 1533-position model. The record is from RNAcentral.